UACGUAGGGUGCGAGCGUUGUCCGGAAUUAUUGGGCGUAAAGAGCGUGUAGGCGGCUUGGUAGGUCCGCUGUGAAAACUCGAGGCUCAACCUCGAGAUGUCGGCGGAAACCACUUGGCUAGAGUCCGGAAGAGGAGAGUGGAAUUCCUGGUGUAGCGGUGAAAUGCGCAGAUAUCAGGAAGAACACCUAUGGCGAAGGCAGCUCUCUGGGACGGUACUGACGCUGAGACGCGAAAGCGUGGGGAGCGAACAGG
Molecule: ribosomal RNA, 253 nt
Filed under: uncultured bacterium
Lineage: Bacteria
Description: partial 16S ribosomal RNA
Rfam family: Bacterial small subunit ribosomal RNA
Source: RNAcentral